Molecule: transfer RNA, 68 nt
Filed under: Marmota monax (woodchuck)
Lineage: Eukaryota; Metazoa; Chordata; Mammalia; Rodentia; Sciuridae
Description: tRNA.Ala
Source: RNAcentral
GGAUUGUGGCUCAGUGGCAGAGUGAUUGCCUUGCACACGUGAGGCACUGGGUUCGAUCCUCAGCACCA